UCCUUGAAAGCUGUGGGUAAUGAAACGCCUGGGAAGCUGACUGGCAUCUCACUGGCCGGAAACGCGGCGGGCCCUUCAUGCCGGCCUGCAUUUGUCGUGGCCCUGGCACUUCGAACAAAUCUACGUGGUAUUUGUUGGGAAUCUCAAUAAUAUUGAUUCCUUUAACAGUGAGACUCGCCGUGUCAGCACCCCAGCAUUUUCCACCCCCAGAAGCAGUCGUGCACAGUGGGAGAAGGGAACCUGCAACAGAGUAAGGUUUUCUGGCUGGAUCCCAUGAGACCGACGUCUGGAAUUAAAUGGCCACAGCGACAGAUUAUGAAAUCUCAAAGCCAGCAACCGUGGACUUUUCAUCCUCGAACCCCAA
This is a long non-coding RNA of Myotis brandtii (Brandt's bat), 364 nucleotides long. RefSeq lists it as uncharacterized. NCBI's taxonomy places the organism in Eukaryota, Metazoa, Chordata, Mammalia, Chiroptera, Vespertilionidae. The record is from RefSeq and is a predicted model, not a curated record. The transcript is spliced from 3 exons.